RNAcentral lists this ribosomal RNA (468 nucleotides) under uncultured bacterium. RNAcentral describes it as "partial 16S ribosomal RNA". It matches the Rfam family "Bacterial small subunit ribosomal RNA", at positions 28 to 507 of the family's 1533-position model. The record is from RNAcentral.
GACGAACGCUGGCGGCGUGCUUAACACAUGCAAGUCGAACGGAAAGGCCCUGCUUUUGUGGGGUGCUCGAGUGGCGAACGGGUGAGUAACACGUGAGUAACCUGCCCUUGACUUUGGGAUAACUUCAGGAAACUGGGGCUAAUACCGGAUAGGAGCUCCUGCUUCAUGGUGGGGGUUGGAAAGUUUCGGCGGUUGGGGAGGGACUCGCGGCUUAUCAGCUUGUUGGUGGGGUAGUGGCUUACCAAGGCUUUGACGGGUAGCCGGCCUGAGAGGGUGACCGGCCACAUUGGGACUGAGAUACGGCCCAGACUCCUACGGGAGGCAGCAGUGGGGAAUAUUGCACAAUGGGCGGAAGCCUGAUGCAGCAACGCCGCGUGCGGGAUGACGGCAUUCGGGUUGUAAACCGCUGUCGCCUGUGACGAAGCGUUAGUGACGGUAAUGGGUAAAGAAGCACCGGCUAACUACGUG